This 1354-nucleotide ribosomal RNA is filed under the name uncultured candidate division WS6 bacterium. Its description in RNAcentral is "bacterial SSU rRNA". It matches the Rfam family "Bacterial small subunit ribosomal RNA", at positions 16 to 1380 of the family's 1533-position model. The record is from RNAcentral.
AUCCUGGCUCAGGAUGAAUGCUAGCGGCGUGCCUAAGGUAUGCAAGUCAACCGUGAAUCUUCGGAUUUACGGGGCAGACGGCUGAGUAACGCGUAAGUAACCUACCUUUAACUUGAGAACAAUCCUGUGAAAACGGGACUAAUGCUCGAUAGUCUCCUGUACCAUAAGGUACUUGAGUAAAGCUUUUGUGGUUAAAGAAGGGCUUGCGUCCUAUCAGGUUGUUGGUGGGGUAAAAGCCUACCAAGCCUAUGACGGGUAGCUGGUCUGAGAGGAUGGUCAGCCAGACUGGGACUGAAACACGGCCCAGACUCCUACGGGAGGCAGCAAUUAGGAAUCUUGCGCAAUGGGGGGAACCCUGACGCAGCGACGCCGCGUGGUGGAUGAAUGCCUUCGGGUUGUAAACACCUUUUAUAGGGGAUCAACACUGAGAGUACCCUAUGAAUAAGUGCCCGCUAACUAUGUGCCAGAAGCGUCGGUGAUACAUAGGGCACAAGCAUUAUCCGGAAUUACUGGGCAUAAAGGGAUGCGCAGGCGUUCUUAUAAGUUAUGUGUUAAAUAUCUUUGCUCAACAAGGAAAUUGCAUGUAAUACUGUGAGAAUUGAGACAGAAAGGGGAGAGGGGAAUUCCUGGUGGAGUGGUGAAAUGCGUUGAUAUCAGGAGGAACACCAAUGGCGAAAGCACCUCUCUGGUUCUGUUCUGACGCUGAGGCUCGAAAGCGUGGGUAGCAAAACGGAUUAGAUACCCGUGUAGUCCACGCCGUAAACGAUCUUUGCUAGAUGUUUGUUCUGAACUUUACGGUUUAACUUUUGUUAGAUUGUAUGUUUAGAAUGAGUGUCGCAGUUAAUGCGUUAAGCAAAGCGCCUGGGGAGUACGGUCGCAAGGCUAAAACUCAAAGGAAUUGACGGGGACCCGCACAAGCGGUGGAGCGUGUGGUUUAAUUCGAUGCAAAACGAUGAACCUCACCAAGGCUUGACAUGUAGCUGCAAGUCCCAAGAAAUUGGGAUUCCUUCGAGGGUGCUACACAGGUGCUGCAUGGCUGUCGUCAGCUCGUGUCGUGAGAUGUUGGGUUAAGUCCCUUAACGAGCGCAACCCCUGUCCUUAGUUAUAAGUCUCUAGGGAGACUGCCCUGCCAAAACGGGGAGGAAGGUGGGGAUGACGUCUAGUCCUCAUAGCCCUUAUGUCUUGGGCGACACACGCGCUACAAUGGAGAGUACAAUGGGUAGCCAAGUCGUGAGGCGGAGCUAAUCCCUUAAAACUCUUCUCAGUUCGGAUUGUAGGCUGAAAUUCGCCUACAUGAAGUCGGAAUCGCUAGUAAUCGUGGAUCAGCAUGCUACGGUGAAUACGUUCUCGGGUC